RNAcentral lists this ribosomal RNA (1122 nucleotides) under Triticum aestivum (bread wheat). RNAcentral's name for it is "partial small subunit ribosomal RNA". Lineage: Eukaryota; Viridiplantae; Streptophyta; Magnoliopsida; Poales; Poaceae. The record is from RNAcentral.
AUGGCGUCCAGCGCCGGUGAUCUGCCCGAGGUGAAAUUCAAGAGGACCGGGAGCCUGGGGAGCAGCGACUACGUGCGAGCAGACAAGAUCGACCUCACCAGCCUCGACAUCCAGCUAGAGCAGCAGCUCAACAAGAAAUGGGGCAAGACCAACAUCAAGCCCCAGGGACCCAAGGCGGACUGGGAGAUUGACCUUGCUAAGCUGGAGAUCCGGCAUGUCAUCGCCCAGGGCACGUAUGGAACCGUCUACCGCGGCACCUAUGAUGGCCAGCAGGUCGCAGUGAAGCUUUUGGAUUGGGGAGAAGAUGGUUUUGCCACAGAAGCCGAAACUACUGCUUUGCGAACAUCAUUUAAGCAGGAGGUUGCUGUUUGGCAUAAGCUCAGCCAUCCUAACGUUACAAGGUUUAUUGGUGCGUCUAUGGGGACCACCGACCUCAAGAUACCGGUCAAUGACAACGGCGCGCGUGCCAACUUGCCAGCUAGAGCAUGUUGUGUUGUGGUAGAGUAUCUCGCUGGAGGCACUUUGAAGCAGUAUCUGAUAAAGAACAGACGGCGGAAGCUCGCCUACAAAGUCGUGGUUCAGCUUGCAUUGGAUCUGUCCAGAGGAUUGAGCUAUCUACACUCUAGAAAGAUUGUACAUCGGGACGUGAAAACUGAAAAUAUGCUGCUUGAUACACAGCGUAACCUUAAGAUUGCUGAUUUUGGCGUUGCACGUGUGGAGGCUCAGAAUCCGAAGGAUAUGACUGGUGCGACAGGCACACUUGGUUAUAUGGCCCCAGAGGUUCUUGAUGGUAAACCAUACAACAGGAAAUGUGAUGUUUACAGUUUUGGCAUUUGCUUGUGGGAAAUCUAUUGCUGUGACAUGCCAUACCCAGACCUAAGUUUUGCCGAUGUCUCUUCUGCUGUCGUUCACCAGAAUUUGCGGCCAGACAUACCCCGUUGCUGUCCAAGUGCAUUUGCGAACAUUAUGCGUAAAUGCUGGGAUGGAAAUCCUGAUAAGCGCCCCGAUAUGGACGAGGUGGUGCAGCUCAUGGAGGCCCUCGACACAAGCAAAGGCGGCGGUAUGAUACCGGAUGGCCAGUCGUCCGGAUGCUUGUGUUUCACCAGGGCCCGUGGCCCGUAG